GAUGAACGCUGGCGGCGUGCCUAAUACAUGCCAGUCGAGCGAACAGAUGAGGAGCUUGCUCCUCUGACGUUAGCGGCGGACGGGUGAGUAACACGUGGAUAACCUACCUAUAAGACUGGAUAACUUCGGGAAACCGGAGCUAAUACCGGAUAAUAUAUUGAACCGCAUGGUUCAAUAGUGAAAGACGGUUUUGCUGUCACUUAUAGAUGGAUCCGCGCCGCAUUAGCUAGUUGGUAAGGUAACGGCUUACCAAGGCAACGAUGCGUAGCCGACCUGAGAGGGUGAUCGGCCACACUGGAACUGAGACACGGUCCAGACUCCUACGGGAGGCAGCAGUAGGGAAUCUUCCGCAAUGGGCGAAAGCCUGACGGAGCAACGCCGCGUGAGUGAUGAAGGUCUUCGGAUCGUAAAACUCUGUUAUUAGGGAAGAACAAAUGUGUAAGUAACUAUGCACGUCUUGACGGUACCUAAUCAGAAAGCCACGGCUAACUACGUG
This 496-nucleotide ribosomal RNA is filed under the name uncultured bacterium. RNAcentral's name for it is "partial 16S ribosomal RNA". It matches the Rfam family "Bacterial small subunit ribosomal RNA", at positions 28 to 507 of the family's 1533-position model. The record is from RNAcentral.